CAGUAGCCGCGGUAAGACAGAGGAUGCAAGCGUUAUCCGGAAUGAUUGGGCGUAAAGCGUCCGUAGGUGGCUUUUCAAGUCCGCCGUCAAAUCCCAGGGCUCAACCCUGGACAGGCGGUGGAAACUACCAAGCUAGAGUACGGUAGGGGCAGAGGGAAUUUCCGGUGGAGCGGUGAAAUGCGUUGAGAUCGGAAAGAACACCAACGGCGAAAGCACCCUGCUGGGCCGACACUGACACUGAGAGACGAAAGCUAGGGGAGCAAAUGGGAUUAGAUACCCCAGUAGUCCCUGUCUCUUAUAC
This 301-nucleotide ribosomal RNA is filed under the name uncultured bacterium. RNAcentral describes it as "partial 16S ribosomal RNA". It matches the Rfam family "Bacterial small subunit ribosomal RNA", at positions 509 to 807 of the family's 1533-position model. The record is from RNAcentral.